CACGAACCGAGCGAACGUUGUUCGGAAUCACUGGGCUUAAAGGGCGCGUAGGCGGGCUGUCAAGUCUGGGGUGAAAUCCCGCGGCUCAACCGUGGAACUGCCUUAGAUACUGACGGCCUCGAGGGAGAUAGGGGCGAGCGGAACUGUGAGUGGAGCGGUGAAAUGCGUUGAUAUUCACAGGAACUCCGGUGGCGAAGGCGGCGCGCUGGAUCUCUUCUGACGCUGAGGCGCGAAAGCUAGGGGAGCAAACGGG
RNAcentral lists this ribosomal RNA (253 nucleotides) under uncultured bacterium. RNAcentral describes it as "partial 16S ribosomal RNA". It matches the Rfam family "Bacterial small subunit ribosomal RNA", at positions 524 to 776 of the family's 1533-position model. The record is from RNAcentral.